UACAGAGGUCUCGAGCGUUGUUCGGAUUCAUUGGGCGUAAAGGGCGCGUAGGCGGCGGGGUAAGUCUGGUGUGAAAUCUCGGAGCUCAACUCCGAAAUUGCACUGGAUACUGCUCUGCUAGAGGGCUGGAGAGGAGAUCGGAAUUCACGGUGUAGCAGUGAAAUGCGUAGAUAUCGUGAGGAAGACCAGUGGCGAAGGCGGCGAUCUGGGAAGAUAUUGACGCUGAGGUGCGAAAGCGUGGGGAGCAAACAGG
This 253-nucleotide ribosomal RNA is filed under the name uncultured bacterium. Its description in RNAcentral is "partial 16S ribosomal RNA". It matches the Rfam family "Bacterial small subunit ribosomal RNA", at positions 524 to 776 of the family's 1533-position model. The record is from RNAcentral.